AAAGCUCCGGCGCCCAAGGAUGGGUCUGCGGCCUAUCAGGUAGUAGUGGGUGUAGCGUAUACCUACUAGCCUACGACGGGUACGGGUUGUGAGAGCAAGAGCCCGGAGAUGGAUUCUGAGACACGAAUCCAGGCCCUACGGGGUGCAGCAGGCGCGAAAACUUUACAAUGCGGGAAACCGUGAUAAGGGAAUCUCGAGUGC
RNAcentral lists this ribosomal RNA (201 nucleotides) under uncultured Methanosaeta sp. RNAcentral's name for it is "partial 16S ribosomal RNA". It matches the Rfam family "Archaeal small subunit ribosomal RNA", at positions 190 to 388 of the family's 1478-position model. The record is from RNAcentral. Lineage: Archaea; Methanobacteriati; Methanobacteriota; Methanomicrobia; Methanotrichales; Methanotrichaceae.